This 125-nucleotide small RNA is filed under the name Marmota monax (woodchuck). The record is from RNAcentral. Lineage: Eukaryota; Metazoa; Chordata; Mammalia; Rodentia; Sciuridae.
GCCGGGCUUGGUGGUGCACCCCUGUAAUCCCAGCAGCUCGUGAGGCUGAGACAGGAGGAUCAUGAGUUCAAAGCCAGCUUCCGCAGUGGUGAGGUGCUAAGCAACUCAGUGAGACCCUGUCUCUA